GCUAGAAAGGAAAUGUCUGGUCAUGCCGGGGCAAUCCGGCUGCUAAGAGGGAAUUUGGUGCGCCGCCGAUGCGGUCAGGCCAAAGCCGCCCCCGCGACUGUAAGCGGUUAGCCUCUGUUCAACCAGCCACUCCCGGCCCAACCCGGGGGGAAGGCGAACAGAGGCAGCGACCCGCGAGCCAGGAGACCUGCCAGGCGAGAAACGCAAGA
RNAcentral lists this non-coding RNA (209 nucleotides) under Ruegeria marisrubri. RNAcentral also lists the same sequence under 1 other name. The record is from RNAcentral. Lineage: Bacteria; Pseudomonadati; Pseudomonadota; Alphaproteobacteria; Rhodobacterales; Roseobacteraceae.